RNAcentral lists this transfer RNA (76 nucleotides) under Leptospira wolffii. RNAcentral's name for it is "tRNA-Gln". It matches the Rfam family "tRNA". Rfam says of the family: Transfer RNA (tRNA) molecules are approximately 80 nucleotides in length. The record is from RNAcentral. Lineage: Bacteria; Pseudomonadati; Spirochaetota; Leptospiria; Leptospirales; Leptospiraceae. RNAcentral also lists the same sequence under 20 other names.
UGGGCCGUCGCCAAGUGGUAAGGCAGCGGUUUUUGGUACCGCCAUUUCAUAGGUUCGAAUCCUAUCGGCCCAGCCA